Molecule: ribosomal RNA, 919 nt
Filed under: uncultured bacterium
Lineage: Bacteria
Also listed under: 1 other name
Description: bacterial SSU rRNA
Rfam family: Bacterial small subunit ribosomal RNA
Source: RNAcentral
UGGAUCCAGACUUUGAUCAUGGCUCAGGACGAACGCUGGCGGCGUGCCUAACACAUGCAAGUCGAACGGAACUGUUUUGAAAGAUUUCCUCGGAAUGAAUUUGAUUUAGUUUAGUGGCGGACGGGUGAGUAACGCGUGAGUAACCUGCCUUCAAGAGGGGGAUAACAUUCUGAAAAGAAUGCUAAUACCGCAUGACAUAUCGGAACCACAUGGUUUAGAUAUCAAAGAUUUUAUCGCUUGAAGAUGGACUCGCGUCCGAUUAGUUAGUUGGUGAGGUAACGGCUCACCAAGACCGCGAUCGGUAGCCGGACUGAGAGGUUGAACGGCCACAUUGGGACUGAGACACGGCCCAGACUCCUACGGGAGGCAGCAGUGGGGGAUAUUGCGCAAUGGGGGCAACCCUGACGCAGCAACGCCGCGUGAAGGAUGAAGGUUUUCGGAUUGUAAACUUCUUUUAUUAAGGAUGAAACUUGACGGUACUUAAUGAAUAAGCUCCGGCUAACUACGUGCCAGCAGCCGCGGUAAUACGUAGGGAGCAAGCGUUGUCCGGAUUUACUGGGUGUAAAGGGUGCGUAGGCGGCUUUGCAAGUCAGAUGUGAAAUCUAUGGGCUCAACCCAUAAACUGCAUUUGAAACUGUAGAGCUUGAGUGAAGUAGAGGCAGGCGGAAUUCCCCGUGUAGCGGUGAAAUGCGUAGAGAUGGGGAGGAACACCAGUGGCGAAGGCGGCCUGCUGGGCUUUAACUGACGCUGAGGCACGAAAGCGUGGGUAGCAAACAGGAUUAGAUACCCUGGUAGUCCACGCUGUAAACGAUGAUUACUAGGUGUGGGGGGUCUGACCCCUUCCGUGCCGGAGUUAACACAAUAAGUAAUCCACCUGGGGAGUACGGCCGCAAGGUUGCAACUCAAAUGAAUUGACGGA